UACACGAUGAAGAGUUUGAUCCUGGCUCAGGAUGAACGCUAGCGGCAGGCCUAACACAUGCAAGUCGAGGGGCAGCGGGGAGUGCUUGCACUCUGCCGGCGACCGGCGCACGGGUGCGUAACGCGUAUACAACCUACCUCUUACUAUUGGAUAGCCCAGAGAAAUUUGGAUUAAGCCAAUAUGGCACCACAUCACGGCAUCGUGUUUGUGGUUAAAGGUUACGGUAAGAGAUGGGUAUGCGUCCUAUUAGUUUGUUGGUAAGGUAACGGCUUACCAAGACUACGAUAGGUAGGGGCCCUGAGAGGGGGAUCCCCCACACUGGUACUGAGACACGG
RNAcentral lists this ribosomal RNA (335 nucleotides) under Flavobacteriaceae bacterium. RNAcentral describes it as "bacterial SSU rRNA". It matches the Rfam family "Bacterial small subunit ribosomal RNA", at positions 1 to 329 of the family's 1533-position model. The record is from RNAcentral. Lineage: Bacteria; Pseudomonadati; Bacteroidota; Flavobacteriia; Flavobacteriales; Flavobacteriaceae.